This is a long non-coding RNA of Bos taurus (domestic cattle), 10779 nucleotides long. The record is from Ensembl. Lineage: Eukaryota; Metazoa; Chordata; Mammalia; Artiodactyla; Bovidae.
AAUAGUGUGGCGUGGUCUCCCUGACCAAAUUCCACCAGGGUGCCUGCCUGAACCCAGGUGAGAUGACUCCCUGUCUCAGGUCAGGGCAUUGAGUUCCAUGAGCUCAGAGUGGGGCAAAGCCUUCUAGCCUGUGGGUGGCCCGCAAGGCCAGCAUGAGAUCCUGGGUACACAGAGCAAGGAAUGCAGGUUCACAGAAAACCAGACAGAACAAAAUGGGCAAAGAGGACCGUCCUCACAGAGGCCUCUCUUCGGCAGGAAGGCAGACGGUCAGGUGAGUGAGCAAUGCCCUGAGGAGCGUCACACAGGGUGAGGGAACCAACACAGUGGCCAGGGAGGGGCUUUCCAGAAUAGGGCAUAUUUGCCUGUGGUUGUCUCUGAAAUGACGUUUGAGCAGAGGAGGCCUGUGGAUGGCUGAGGAAGUGUGGCUAGCUGAGGCAGAGGGAACGGCAGUGCAAAGGCCCUGUGGCAGGACUAUGCCGGGUUGUUCUGAGGAGCAUUGAGCGGCUGAGCAGGUAAGGGAGGGGUAGUGGGAAGCAAGGUCAGAGAGCUAAUGGCAGUAGGGGAGGCACGGAUCCUAAAGACCUUGGAGGUCACAGUGAGGUCUUUGCUUUUAACCCUGAGUGAGAUGGGAGCCAUUGGAGGGUUUUGAGCUGAAGAGUGGCCCAACUUGACUUAGGUUUGAAAAGGAUCUCUCUGGCUGCUACGGAGACAGACUAACGUGGCAAGGGACGGAUGGGGACAGGGAGACAAUGAAGGGCUACCGAGACCAUCCUGGUGGAGAUGGGUCAGGUUGGUGGUGGUGAAGUGGGAAGAAGUGGUCAUUUGUUUUUAGGUCAAGCUGUGCGGCAUGUGGGAUCUAGUUCCCUGACCAGUGAUUGAACCUGGACCCCAUGCACUCGGAGCACAGAGUCUUAACUACCGGACCGCCAAGGAAGUCCCAUAAGUGGUCAUUUCUGAUGUUCUGACACUAGUCCCACACUGGCUCCAGGACAGGAGGGCAUCUCUGCCCCGGCCAGGUCCCAUCAGAGGUGCCACACCCUCCACCGGAAGCAUGGCAUGGGGCAUGGCACUGCCCAAGCAGCUGUGGAGGCUGGACAGUGCCAGGCCCUUCUUCCAUCCCACCGUGUGGCCGCAUAGGCCUCCUCAUUUCAUUUCAAACAUUGUGAAUUUGGCCCAGCAGCUAUCAUUCCCCUCCCACCCUGGGCCGGGCCACCAACCUGCACAAUGUUUCUGGGAAGCAAGUGGUUCAUAUGUAUUAAGAGUCUUAAAAUUUUCAUGCCUUUCGCCCCAGCGAGUCCCUUUCUGGGAGGUUCCCCUGGAGAAGUCACCUGACACUUCUGGUCAGGUGGUCACGGUUUCUACAUCAAGAGCGGCACCUGUGCACUUGUGCCGCCCUUAAAUUCAUGUUUCCUAAGGAUGUUCAUGUCAAAGGGCAACACUCACGCUACAAUACCAAGCGGAUAGAAUAUUGUGCAGGAGACACCUGUACAAGGAAGGAAGUAGACGAUGAUUACCUCUGAGUGACUGGAACUUCCACUGAAGAAGAAACUUUGCUUUCUCCAUUACACUUUUCUGCUUUGUAUGGAUGUUCUAAGAUGGACAUGCUUUGCCUUCAUGAUAAUUGGAUUUGAAAGCAGUAUUAAAAAAAGAAACAGAAAGGAAAUGCGAGUUCCCAGAAGCUGAGGAAGCACAGCAGAGGCCAGGCCCGGAGCAGAGAACUGACCCAUCCCUUUCGGGGAAAGGCAGCAGCCACGUGGAGUGGAGCAAGCCUGGUGCCCCGCCAACCGGACAGCCGGCCGCUGGGCUCACUUCCUCCAGUGCGACUGCCCAGGGGCAGAGCUGAGAACGGUGGUGGGAGUGAGCACAGCCGGGUCCACUCCCCUUCCUACUGCCCAGGUCACGGGGGUCUGUCCCCUCUCCUUGGCCCUGCAGCGCCUGGAGUUUGCCCCUCCGUCACCUCUGCUUCCAUCACAUCUCACCAGAAGCCUGCUGCAUUUGUAACCUUGUGUCUCCCCUAAGUAUGUACCCAGGGGUUCUCAAAAUGUGGUCCCCAUACCAGCAGCAUCAGCACCCACUCAGGAACUUGUUAGAAAUACAGAUUCACAGGCCCCACCCCAGACCCUCUGAAUCUGAGACUCUGGCAGGUGAAGCCCAGGAAUCCAUGUUUUAACAAGCCCUCCAGGGCUACAGUUUGAGAGUGAUACAGCCCCCCCAUGGUCCUUGGUUUACCUCAAUUAUAUCAUCUUACACAUUGCCAUGAUUUCCACUUAAGAGCUGGGACUCUGAGACCAUACUUUAUUAUUUUUUUUUUGAGCUCAUACUUUUAUUUCAAGCUUUGUGCUCCACAGCUGCCUGGACUUCAGGCUGUCCUGUGGAGGUCCGGGUUGGCGCUCGGUGUUCAUCGUGCCACGGACAUGGGUUGAACCGGAGUUCGCACACUGUGGCAUCAGAGCCCUGGCUGCUCUAUUGGAAGACCAAGACUGAUUCCCCAGGAGACCCUGCGGGCCUGGCCCCCUGUAGGAUGAGGGAGGCAGGCUCCCUCCGGUGAUGACAGCCAGUGGCAGUCAGGAUGGACACACGCUGCCGUGGAGGGGCGCAGCGCCACCUGCUGGCCAGAAGGACGCCAGCAGCGAUGCUGGCUGAUUAAUGCAGGGACCCACACACACGCACGCACACACACACUCAGCAGGAACACCAUGACAAGCAAGCACGUGUCCCCUCCCACUGCAUGGGGGCGGACGCAUCCACACGUGGAUGUCUGGGCCCGUGGGCAUGUGGGGCUCUCUGCCACACGGCCUGGCAGAUAGCACUGAAUUCACUCACGUACUCAUUUCUUCCUUUACCGAACGUUCUUUCAGAUACGCCAAGCCCACAGUUGCUAUCCCUGGCUGGGUGAUGAUCAAGAGACCAGGCAGUAACCAGGCGAUGUAGGUAAGGGUCCCAGGAGAGAUGCGCCUGGUGAGCUCGCAGAGGCAGCCCCUAACCCAUCUAGACUGGAGUUGGGGGCAGGGACAAGUUGCCCAAGAGAUCCAGCCCCUGCUGGGUCAAAGCCUGUGAGCGGGAGAUGGCUGGGUGAAGGAGGCAGAGGUCAAAUAGAGGGAAGCACAGAGGAGGAGCUGGAGGGGACAGUUGAGACCCUGGGCAGAGGGCCUUACACACGGGCCACAGAGUCUGGACUUUGUCCCCGCAGGCAGUGGGGAGCCAUGGAAAGCUUCCAGCCGGGAAACAGCCCGGCCAGAUUCCGGUGCCAUAGCUAGUGACACGUCUGUACCAAAGCAUAGGCCCUGAGGGUCUCUCAGCCCCUCCUAGGGCUGGGGGCCUUGCACGUGGUUUGUCCCUGGGUACUGCCUCUUCUUUCUGCAGCAGCAGUCCUCGGACGUGUCUGCGAAGGGGAGAGGUGCACCCCCGCCCCAGUCUCCAGAGAGAAGCCUGUGUCCACUCUAGAAAUGAAGCAAACAACAGCCACUGUUAAGGCAGGCAGCCCUAUGUGCCCAGAAGAUGCCCAUUUUCCACUCACCAGGCUGCCCAGACAGCUCAGAGGGUGAGAGGUCUUCUACAACAUAGCUCCCUGUGCCCCCCCAGCUCCCCCUACUAGAGGGUCGGUGCCUCUCUGCACAGAUGGUAACUGGAUGGCUGCAUCGUGCCGGGUGGAAACGCAUUUACAGUAUGGGACGCUGGUGCUCUGACACAAGCAGGGGUCUAGGGUAGAGAGCCCGAGGGCAGCCGGAAGGGGACCCCGGGGCGGCUGAGGGGAGGGGAGCAGCGUGAGGACUCCCCAGAGAGGAGGUGGCAGGUGGAGCUGAAGAGAAAAGCUUGGCGGCUUCCCAAUUCAGCUGGGCCACAGCUUUGUCAAUGGCCAGCUCUCUACCCGCCGGGCCCCUGGCCUGGCCCCGGGCCUGCGGUUUUCCUCAGUAGAACAGCGGGCGGCAGCUUCCGAGAAACCCCACCAAGACUUUCCUGUCAGGGCAACUCCAAGUUCCUCUUCAGGAAGGGGAAGUGGGGGAGUUUCUCCUAAGGGCUUUCAGUUUCUUUCUAAGAAGCCGGAGUGUCCCAACCCCGCAGUGCAGAGCCAGGUGUUAAGGGAAGAGACGUCCCACGGCAGGGGCUUUCCUAUCUCGGGUUCACAGGUGGACAUUCCAAAAGAGGAAAACUGGACCCGAGUUUUGCAGGCCCUUUCCCAUGCCCCUCUCCUUUCUUCCCCCUCCGGUCACACGUCCCCUGCGCCCCUCCCUGCCCCCACCAACACGUGCAGUGCAUGCACAGAAUGUGGCCUGCCCUCCCUCGGGGACCUGCCAGGUGGAAAUUUAUUUCCUCAGCCCUCCCAGCCGACGUCCUGGGAGCUCAGCUUCCUCGGGGCUCUGCUGGGCGACUCAACAUCUGACCCAGAUCAAGACCCAACAGGUGACUCCAGCUUCUUGCCGAUGCUGGGCCACGGAAGACCUCCAAACUUCUUUGAGGACACACUGUGGGAGCCCCAAGAACUGAGAGCCUGCCUUUUUUUUAAGAAGGCUUGGCUUGGUGGCAAAGCAGAAGUCCUGAUGUGAUUAUAAACAAGAGCCACCAUGGAGGCUAAGCACUUACCGUGUGCUAGCAUUUUACAUGAAUAUCCUCCUGUAACCCACCCCCCCAACCGAGGGGGCAAUCCCAUGACAAAGACACCAUUGUUACUCCUGAAGUCAAGCAACCUGCCCAUUCACCCAGCCCGCAAGCCUGUUCUUCCCAGUAGACUGCUUCUCAGAAAGGCGGGGAAGAAAGACUAUCAGGCCCUCAAAGGAGCUGGCUGGGAAGGUGUGAUCUCCAAUAUCGCCGAUCCUCAAAGCAAGCUCUGAGUGGUGAAGAGCCAGCGAUCUAGUUACCGCCGGCUUUGCAGCACGGCCACGGCUGGGGGUCUCCCCAGGACAUCCACACUCCUGUCGCCUCUUCUGUUCUCCUCUUACAGGCAUCGUGUUAGGGUUUCUGCUUUGCCAACACAUGCGUUAUGGGGACAGUGUGGGGAUUUCCCCAAACCAUGACGCUGUUCUGCUCAAAAACAUUUGCCUAGAAGUCCACAACUGUGUGACUCACGCUGUUGAGGUGUCAAGAAAACUCACAGCUGCAGGGUGGAGGGGCCGGACCCACACGGAAGGGGGCACUCGGAGGGUGAGCAGUUCGGUACAUAAAAAUACAGGACACCCAGUUACAUUUGAGUUUCAGAUCAACUACAACAUUUGGGAUACCCUGAUACUAAAAAAAAAAAAAAAAGUACUUAUCUGAAGUGAAAGUGUGUGUUAGUUGCUCAGUUGAGUCUGACUGUUUGCGACCCCAUGGAUUGUAACCCAAAUCAGGGACUGAACCAGUGUCUCUUACAUCUCCUGCAUUGGCACACGGGUUUUUUUGUUUGUUUGUUUAUUUUUUUUUUUAACACUGGCACCACCUUGGAAACCCCAAGGACCUCCUAGCCCUUGGUUUCUGGCCUCGUUGAAAAUCUGCUAGAAGCAAGAAGAGGUGGGAAGUAGCCAAAGAGCAGGUUUAGGGACAAGCAAGACAGCUCUGCUGGGAAAAGUGCUGUCCCUCCUAUGCUCCAGCACCCAAGGAGAUUGGGGCCUGGGUGCCUGGAGGGAUCCUCUGGGGUCAGCCCACCCAGCUUUUCAAACACUCAUGGCAACACCUGAGCCACAGCUGGGAUCAUUGCUAGCUCCCAAAUUAGAAAAGUAUGUUGUAAGGAUGAAAUGGCUAAAUGGUCUACAAAAUGUUAACUACGCAAUUGUAACUCAGCUCCUGCACUUUAUGUAAAUUAUAUGCGCUGUGGCACGUGGGUCCAUUUGAAUACAUUUAGGGAUGUUGUUUUUUUUCCAGUCGCUCAGUCGGGUCGACUCCUUGCGACUCCGUGGACUGCAGCACUCCAGGCUCCUCUGCCCUUCACUAUCUCCCAGAAUUUGCUCAAAUUCAUAUGCAUUCAGCCAGUAGAGCUAUCUAACCAUCUCAUCCUCUGUCGCCCCCUUCUCCUCCUGCCCUUAAUCCUUUCCAGCAUCGGGGUCUUUUCCAAUGAGUCAGUUCUUCUUAUCAGGUGGCCAAAGGAUUGGAGUUUCAGCUUCCGCAUCAGUCCUUCCAAUGAGUAUUCAGGGCUGAUUUCCUUUAGGGUGGAUUGGUUGGAUCUCCUUGCAGUCCAAGGGACUCUCAAGAGUCUGCCAGGGAUGUAGCCUCUGAGAGUAAGAUGCCCAGGGCUUGGAAGCUCCACAUAGAGCUGUUCCAGAGAUGUGGAGACAGCGAAUUCCUCCAGACCACCAGCUGUAUUCCAGGGUCUGAUGGCAGUGUAAAGGUGAAUCUCUGGAGACAGAGAUGAGGGAAGAGCAGGUCUGGGAGUUGGUGAAGCCCCUUCAGAGAGGGUCCCACUGGUCCCUGAUAGGGGACCGCUGAGACCCAGCAGGGGCCUCGGGGCCAGACUGGAGCUCCUAGUAGGGCUACAGUCUUGACAGGGAACUGGAGGUCACAUCUUGGGGCAAGCCCUGGGUGCUUCCCAGUGGGGAUGAGCGCUGCGAUUACUUCCUGACCUUUGUCUUCCUGAAAGGCCAGGGAUGCUCACAUGUAGCCGGCAGGGGCGACACCUAAGGGCUGGGGUUACCCAAGGUCCCCUGGUCACCAUCAGCUCCAUCUCUCAGAGCCACCACCAGAAGGUAAUAGUCUUUGCUGUGGACAAUGCACAUUUUCUCAGUCUUGCGUAAAAGUAUAUCUUUAGGAAAAUUGGUGAAUUAUAGUUUGUUCAGGCUGCUGAAGCACAGGACUCCUGCUGCGGAGACUUCAACAACAGAAAUUAAUUUUCUCACAAUCCUGGAGGUUAGACAUCUGAAAUCAAAGUGUCAGCAGGGUUGAUUUGUUUUAAGGUCCCUCUUUUCCUCUUUGUCUUCUGUGGCCUUCCCCCUGCCUAGGUCCUAAUCUCCUCUUCUUUCUUUCUUUCGGCUUUUUAUUUUUUUGACCACAGCUUUUGGGAUCUUAGUUCCCCAACCAGGAAUUGAACCUGCGCCCUCAGCAGUGAAAGCAUGGAGUGCUAACCACUGGACUGCCAGGGAAUUCCUUAGACAAGGGGCUUUCUCUCUCUUUCUAAUCUCUUCUUCUGAUAAGGACACCAAUCAUAUAAAAGUAGGGCUCACCUGUUGACUUCAUUUUAUCUUGUGUUUUGCUGAGUUGCUCAGUCGUGUCUGAUUCUUUGAGGCCCCCCUGGACUGUAGCCCACCAGGCUCCUCUGCCCGUGGAAUUUUCCAGGCAAGAAUGCUGGAGUGGAUCGCCAUUUCCUCCUCUGGGGAUCUUCCCAAACCAGGAGUCGAACUCCCAUCCAUCUCUUGUGUCUCCUUCAUUGGCAGUCAGAAAUUUGUGAAGGACUCAGUUGGGCACUUCGCACUUGGGGUCUCCCACGAGGCUUUAGUCAGGUGUUGACUGAGGCCGAAGUCAUCAGAUGACAGCUGGGACUGGAGGAUCAUUGCUAAGGUUACUCACUUGUACAGCUGGCCAGUUAGUGCCACCUGUAGGCGGGGUGCCUCGGUGCCUCUCCACGUGGACAUCUCCACAAAGAUAUCAGAACAUCACUGCUGCUGUGUCUUGUUGGUUGAAGCAAGUCACCAGGUCAACCUAGAUUCAAGAGGAGGUGAAAUUGGAAAUUCCAUCCAGUGAUUAGGACUCUACAUGUUCAUUGUAAGGGGCACAGGUUCAAUCCCUGGUUGGGGAAUUAAAUCCUGAAAGCCAAAAAAAAAAAAAGAGAGAGAAAGAAGAGGUGAAAUAGAUUCCAUCUUGUGGUAGCAGAAGCAGCAAAGUCCAGUUGCAAAGAGGCAUGAACAAAGAGGUGGGGGUAAUUCUCUGGGGGGCCAUUAUUGUAACAAUACUCCCUAGGGAUGGUGCACAAAGUUCAUUCACUGGGUCAGCACGCCCCACGCAUGCACUCAGAGAUCUGUGAACUUUGGUCUCACUCUUGGAACAACCUGCUGCCGCCCAGCUUGCUCCUCACUCCCUUCUCAGCCAGUCCAGCUCAGAUCUGCCUGGACAUAGGCUGUGUCUCUGGUCUGGGGCCCUGUUUAUGCCCUUUGGCCUUGCUGAUGUAUGUGUGGACUUUGAUUCAGGUUACCUGCCAGCCUUCCCGCUCAGCCUGGCCUCCACUCUGCUUCCUGGAACUCACAGCCCCACCCCGUCAGCUGUCCUCUGGCAGGGUCUGGUCUGCCUCCCCACUGGGAAAGUUCAUACACCUCCAGUGGAUUCUUCUUGACCAAUUUCCCGAGAAAACUGCUUAAUACAUCUGAAAGUACAGUAUGUGUCUUUCAUUCACCCUUUCAUUCGCCCCAGCCGAAUAAACUCCAGUAAUUCAGACCAUUAAGAAAUUCCAUGGUUUAUGCUCCAAAUUUUAGUCUUUUUUUUGUACUUUAGAACUCAUGAGUUACUGAGAAUACAAACCCAUGAUGUUAUUUGAUAACAGCUAUAAAAGGAAAAGAUAAUACUAAUAAGAUAGAAUCUCACAAAAUGGUUUAUUGGUUGGAUCAAGAAGUUAACAUGAAUCACAUUUUCCUAAUUGAAUCAUACUUUUUGAUGUAGUAGCUGGACUUGUUGCCUAAGGACCCUCAGAGGGCUGUAAGACAGAGAAUAGAAUUAUUUAGUAGUCAAAGUUUAGAUUUUUUAUAAGGGGAAGCCUUUUGGUAAAGAUAUUAAUUUGCUGGUUGUUAAAAUGAUUUUAGUGUUUCAAAGAAACAAGGUGUACAACAAUUUCAACUUUAGUGAAAAAAGAUACAUUUAUUGUAAAAAGGGGGAAAAUCUAUACAACAAAACAUAAAACAUAAUAUAAUGUGUGUGUAUCUCCUUUCUUUGGAAAUAUCUAUAGUUUCUUAUAGAAACUGGUUUCUCAGUAAUAUCAACUCUUAGGAGAAAAAAAAUGUGUGUGUGACAGCAGGGCGGGAGGAAGAUGUUUAGAUUUAUCCUUGUUCCUUUUGAAUUUUGUACCAAAAUUAAACCAAAACUGUGGGAGCAGAUAUCACCUGGGAGGGGACAUAAGGGAGUUCUCCAGGGUGCUGGAAAUAUUCUGGUUCUUGACGUGAGUGGUGGCUAUGUGGAUGAACACCCAUGAAAAGUUGUCAAUCUGUACACUUAAAAUCAAUGCACUUUAUUAUGUUAUACUUUCAAGAAAGCAAUGUCUAUCAAUGAAAAAUAUAUAUAUAUUACAAAUAAUUUUUUACUUUGUGUCUUAUCGGCAGGGCACACGACAUGGCAUGUAGGAUCUUAGUUCUCCAACCAAGGGUCAAACCCACGCCCCCGGCAAUGGAGGCACAGAGUCUUAACCACUGGACCACCAGGGAAGUCCCCAAAAUAAUUUUUUAAGAAGAAAAAUAAAGCCAGACCAGGCAGGCUGCCAAAAAAUAAAGUCAGACCUUGCCUUGCUCCGCAAAAAUGCAGCUAAAGAAGACAGCAAAGGGCGUUGUGUACCCUUCAGUCGGGGCAGAUGUAAAAUAUCUUCACCCAAGCAGGACCGGAACAUUCCACAGCCAGUGAUUUGGAAAGUUGCCGCUUCCCCACUGUUAUGUGACCACAAGCAAGUUCUACUCAACCACUGACGCUUCAGUUUCCUCAUCUGUAAAAUGAGGAUUUGGAUAUAGUAUCUACUUCUAAUGUUAUUAAGGAUUAAGUGGGACUUCCCUAGUGGUACACUGGAUAAGAAUCUGCCUGCCAUUGCAUGGACCUUGGUUUUAUCCCUGACCCAGGAAGAUCCCACACCUGAGGAACAACUAAACCCGUGCACCACAACUAUUGAGCCUGUGCUCUAGAGCCCGAGCCUCAGCUACCGAGCCCGUGUACCCUGGAGGCUGUGAGCGGUCACCUCAGCUGUAACUCGUGCAUGUCCCAACCUGCCCCUCCCGAGGCCACCUCAUCUCAGCUAGUGGCCACUCCACCCCAGCCCCCUGUUCUCAGGUCAGAGGCCAUAGAGUCACCUCUGGUUCCCUCUCUCUCCCACCGUAGUCACUGUGUAGGGGGGUUUCCACUCUACCUUCAAAAUGAACCCAGAAUUCGAUCCCUUCUCACCACUUUCACUGCUCCAACCCUAAUAUAAGCCACCUCCCCCUCACUGAUACAGUUGUGACUGCCUCUCAGCUGCUUCUGCCUUCAUCCCUUUCAGUCUGUUUCAGCAAAAGCAGCAGGACAGAGUCUGUUAAAACAAAUCAGAUUCCCCUCAAGACUCCUCCUCUCAUUCAGCCCUGCUCCCUGACCCCACCCUCAGUUUAGUGGUCUUCUGCCCUGAUCUCCUUCCUGCCCACUCUGCUCCGGCCACACUGACCUCCUCGCUGUUCUUUGCACGCGCCAGGCAGGCUCCCACCGCAGGACCGUUGCACUUGCUGUUCCCUCUGCCUGGAAUGUGCUCCCCGCUGCUACCUGUGUGCUGCUCUCCCUUUCUUCUUUCCUUGAGCUUGUUUUUCAGACACUGACUUCUCAGUGAAGCCCUCCUUGAUUUUCCUUUAAACACGGGACGCACACACAUCCCAGUCCGCCCUGCUCCCUUUCUUACUCCUUUUGUUCUCCUACCAGAAUGACAAGGGGUUUCCUGAGACUUAAGGUUUUCAGUUUUAAAACUAGGCAAGUCUGGAUGGUUUGUCACUCAUUACAUCUAAUAUGUUCUACAUUUUAUUAAUAUGUACUUACUUUGUUGAAUAAGAACAUAAACUCCAUGAAGGCAGAGAUUUUGUCUCCUUCAUUGCUGUACCCCUGGUAUAGGAACUGCGUUUGGCUCAAAAAGAUGUUCAACAAAUACUUGUUGAAUGAAGGAAUAAACUUACG